This is a non-coding RNA of Caenorhabditis elegans, 21 nucleotides long. The record is from Ensembl. Lineage: Eukaryota; Metazoa; Nematoda; Chromadorea; Rhabditida; Rhabditidae.
UGAUUGGUUUCCUGAUAUUCA